GCUGGGCGCAAUGGCGCAUGUCUGUAGUCCCAGCUACUUGGGAGGCUGAGGUGGGAGGACUGCUUGAGCCCAGCAGUUCUGGGCAAUCGGGUAUCCGCACUAAGUUCGUCAUCAAUAUGGUGACCUCCCGGGAGCAGGGGACCACCAGGUGAACCAGCCCAGGUUGGAAACGGAGCAGAUGAAAACUCCUGUGCUGAUCAGUAGUGGGAUCGCGCCUGUGAAUAAUCACUGCACUCCAGCCUGGGCAACAUAGCAAGACCCCGUCUCUA
Molecule: signal recognition particle RNA, 269 nt
Filed under: Callithrix jacchus (white-tufted-ear marmoset)
Lineage: Eukaryota; Metazoa; Chordata; Mammalia; Primates; Cebidae
Description: Metazoan signal recognition particle RNA (ENSCJAG00000068893.2)
Rfam family: Metazoan signal recognition particle RNA
About the family: The signal recognition particle (SRP) is a universally conserved ribonucleoprotein. It is involved in the co-translational targeting of proteins to membranes. The eukaryotic SRP consists of a 300-nucleotide 7S RNA and six proteins: SRPs 72, 68, 54, 19, 14, and 9.
Source: Rfam by way of RNAcentral